This 549-nucleotide ribosomal RNA is filed under the name uncultured Glomeromycotina. RNAcentral's name for it is "SSU rRNA". It matches the Rfam family "Eukaryotic small subunit ribosomal RNA", at positions 548 to 1098 of the family's 1831-position model. The record is from RNAcentral. Lineage: Eukaryota; Fungi; Glomeromycota.
UUGGAGGGCAAGUCUGGUGCCAGCAGCCGCGGUAAUUCCAGCUCCAAUAGCGUAUAUUAAAGUUGUUGCAGUUAAAAAGCUCGUAGUUGAAUUUCGGGGUUAGUAGGUUGGUCAUGCCUCUGGUAUGUACUGGUCUCACUGAUUCCUCCUUCCUGAUGAGCCGUAAUGCCAUUAAUUUGGUGUUGCGGGGAAUUUGGACUGUUACUUUGAAAAAAUUAGAGUGUUUAAAGCAAGCUAACGCUUGAAUACAUUAGCAUGGAAUAAUGAAAUAGGACGUUCGAUCCUAUUUUGUUGGUUUCUAGGAUUGACGUAAUGAUUAAUAGGGAUAGUUGGGGGCAUUAGUAUUCAAUUGUCAGAGGUGAAAUUCUUGGAUUUAUUGAAGACUAACUACUGCGAAAGCAUUUGCCAAGGAUGUUUUCAUUAAUCAAGAACGAAAGUUAGGGGAUCGAAGACGAUCAGACACCGUCGUAGUCUUAACCAUAAACUAUGCCGACUAGGGAUCGGACGAUGUUAAUUUUUUAAUGACUCGUUCGGCGCCUUACGGGAAAC